AACGAACGCUGGCGGCGUGCCUAACACAUGCAAGUCGGACGAGAAAGUACUUCGGUACGAGUAGAGUGGCGCACGGGUGAGUAAUGCAUAGGAACGUACCUUCAAAUGGGGGAUAACUACGGGAAACUGUAGCUAAUACCGCAUAAAGACGAGAGUUUAAAGGUGGCCUCUAUUUAUAAGCUACUGUUUGAAGAUCGGCCUAUGUCCCAUUAGCUAGUUGGCGGGGUAAGAGCCCACCAAGGCGACGAUGGGUAGCUGGUCUGAGAGGACGAUCAGCCACACUGGAACUGAGACACGGUCCAGACUCCUACGGGAGGCAGCAGUGGGGAAUUUUGCACAAUGGGGGAAACCCUGAUGCAGCAACGCCGCGUGAGUGAAGAAGGCCUUCGGGUUGUAAAGCUCUUUCGGCUGGGGAGAAGGGUUUGUUACCUAAUACGUAACAGAUUUGACGGUACCAGAAGAAGAAGCACCUGCUAACUUCGUGCCAGCAGCAGCGGUAA
RNAcentral lists this ribosomal RNA (500 nucleotides) under uncultured bacterium. RNAcentral describes it as "bacterial SSU rRNA". It matches the Rfam family "Bacterial small subunit ribosomal RNA", at positions 29 to 523 of the family's 1533-position model. The record is from RNAcentral.